This 57-nucleotide ribosomal RNA is filed under the name Paenibacillus pabuli. Its description in RNAcentral is "partial 16S ribosomal RNA". Lineage: Bacteria; Bacillati; Bacillota; Bacilli; Caryophanales; Paenibacillaceae. RNAcentral also lists the same sequence under 3 other names. The record is from RNAcentral.
CUUUAUUGGAGAGUUUGAUCCUGGCUCAGGACGAACGCUGGCGGCAUGCCUAAUACA